Molecule: ribosomal RNA, 253 nt
Filed under: uncultured bacterium
Lineage: Bacteria
Description: partial 16S ribosomal RNA
Rfam family: Bacterial small subunit ribosomal RNA
Source: RNAcentral
UACGUAGGGUGCGAGCGUUAAUCGGAAUUACUGGGCGUAAAGCGUGCGCAGGUGGUUGUUUAAGACAGAUGUGAAAUCCCCGGGCUCAACCUGGGAACUGCGUUUGUGACUGGACAGCUAGAGUGCGGCAGAGGGGGGUGGAAUUCCACGUGUAGCAGUGAAAUGCGUAGAGAUGUGGAGGAACACCGAUGGCGAAGGCAGCCCCCUGGGCCAGCACUGACGCUCAUGCACGAAAGCGUGGGGAGCAAACAGG